UACGUAGGGGGCUAGCGUUGUCCGGAAUCAUUGGGCGUAAAGAGCGCGUAGGCGGCCAGAUAAGUCCGGUGUGAAAGUCACAGGCUCAACCUGUGAAUGCCGCUGGAAACUGUCUGGCUAGAGUCCGGGAGGGGCGAGUGGAAUUCCUGGUGUAGCGGUGAAAUGCGCAGAUAUCAGGAGGAACACCAAUGGCGAAGGCAGCUCGCUGGAACGGUACUGACGCUGAGGAGCGAAAGCGUGGGUAGCAAACAGG
RNAcentral lists this ribosomal RNA (253 nucleotides) under uncultured bacterium. RNAcentral describes it as "partial 16S ribosomal RNA". It matches the Rfam family "Bacterial small subunit ribosomal RNA", at positions 524 to 776 of the family's 1533-position model. The record is from RNAcentral.